GUGUGGUCUCACAUGUGGCUCAUUACAAAAAGAUUGAGGACGAUCUUUUGCAAGUUUCUGGUCCAUCUUAUAGCUGCAAACUCUCUUUGCCUUUUUCAAAGCAUAAAAUGGACAUCAGCAAGGUGGCACACAUGUUGCUUAAA
Phoenix dactylifera (date palm) is the source of this 143-nucleotide non-coding RNA. The record is from RefSeq and is a predicted model, not a curated record. NCBI's taxonomy places the organism in Eukaryota, Viridiplantae, Streptophyta, Magnoliopsida, Arecales, Arecaceae.